RNAcentral lists this ribosomal RNA (440 nucleotides) under uncultured bacterium. Its description in RNAcentral is "partial 16S ribosomal RNA". It matches the Rfam family "Bacterial small subunit ribosomal RNA", at positions 338 to 795 of the family's 1533-position model. The record is from RNAcentral.
CCUACGGGCGGCAGCAGUGGGGGAUAUUGCACAAUGGGGGAAACCCUGAUGCAGCGACGCCGCGUGAGUGAAGAAGUAUUUCGGUAUGUAAAGCUCUAUCAGCAGGGAAGAAAAUGACAGUACCUGACCAAGAAGCCCCGGCUAACUACGUGCCAGCAGCCGCGGUAAUACGUAGGGGGCAAGCGUUAUCCGGAUUUACUGGGUUUAAAGGGAGCGUAGACGGGUAUGUAAGUCUGGAGUGAAAGCCCGGGGCCCAACCCCGGGACUGCUGUGGAAACUGGGUGACUGGAGUGCAGGAGGGGCAGGCGGAAUUCCUGGUGUAGCGGUGAAAUGCGUAGAGAUCAGGAGGAACACCGGCGGCGAAGGCGGCCUGCUGGACUGAAACUGACGUUGAGGCUCGAAAGCGUGGGGAGCAAACAGGAUUAGAUACCCGGGUAGUC